UAGGGAAUAUUCCACAAUGAGCGAAAGCUUGAUGGAGCGACACAGCGUGCACGAUGAAGGCCCUCGGGUUGUAAAGUGCUGUUGCAAGGGAAGAACACUUAGUUGAGGAAAUGCAACUAAGCUGACGGUACCUUGUUAGAAAGCGAUGGCUAACUAUGUGCCAGCAGCCGCGGUAAUACAUAGGUCGCAAGCGUUAUCCGGAAUUAUUGGGCGUAAAGCGUUCGUAGGCUGUUUAUUAAGUCUGGAGUCAAAUCCCAGGGCUCAACCCUGGCUCGCUUUGGAUACUGGUAAACUAGAGUUGGAUAGAGGUAAGCGGAAUUCCAUGUGAAGCGGUGAAAUGCGUAGAUAUAUGGAAGAACACCAAAGGCGAAGGCAGCUUACUGGGUCUAUACUGACGCUGAGGGACGAAAGCGUGGGGAGCAAACAGGAUUAGAUACCCUGGUAGUCCACGCCGUAAACGAUGAUCAUUAGUCGGUGGGAGCCACUGACGCAGCUAACGCAUUAAAUGAUCCGCCUGAGUAGUAUGCUCGCAAGAGUG
Molecule: ribosomal RNA, 538 nt
Filed under: uncultured bacterium
Lineage: Bacteria
Description: bacterial SSU rRNA
Rfam family: Bacterial small subunit ribosomal RNA
Source: RNAcentral